GUCUCCGUAGCUCAAGUGGAUAGAGCAGUCGUUUCCUAAACGACGGAUCCGUGUUCGAGUCACGGCGGGGACACCA
RNAcentral lists this transfer RNA (76 nucleotides) under Opitutaceae bacterium. Its description in RNAcentral is "tRNA-Arg". It matches the Rfam family "tRNA". Rfam says of the family: Transfer RNA (tRNA) molecules are approximately 80 nucleotides in length. Their secondary structure includes four short double-helical elements and three loops (D, anti-codon, and T loops). The record is from RNAcentral. Lineage: Bacteria; Pseudomonadati; Verrucomicrobiota; Opitutia; Opitutales; Opitutaceae.